RNAcentral lists this ribosomal RNA (508 nucleotides) under uncultured bacterium. RNAcentral describes it as "partial 16S ribosomal RNA". It matches the Rfam family "Bacterial small subunit ribosomal RNA", at positions 30 to 523 of the family's 1533-position model. The record is from RNAcentral.
AUUGAACGCUGGCGGCAGGCCUAACACAUGCAAGUCGAGCGGCAGCGGGAAAGUAGCUUGCUACUUUUGCCGGCGAGCGGCGGACGGGUGAGUAAUGCCUGGGAAAUUGCCCAGUCGAGGGGGAUAACAGUUGGAAACGACUGCUAAUACCCCAUACGCCCUACGGGGGAAAGCAGGGGACCUUCGGGCCUUGCGCGAUUGGAUAUGCCCAGGUGGGAUUAGCUAGUUGGUGAGGUAAUGGCUCACCAAGGCGACGAUCCCUAGCUGGUCUGAGAGGAUGAUCAGCCACACUGGGACUGAGACACGGUCCAGACUCCUACAGGAGGCAGCAGUGGGGAAUAUUGCACAAUGGGGGAAACCCCGAUGCAGCCUUGCCGCGUGUGUGAAGAAGGCCUUCGGGUUGUAAAGCACUUUCAGCGAGGAGGAAAGGUUGAUGCCUAAUACGUAUCAACUGUGACGUUACUCGCAGAAGAAGCACCGGCUAACUCCGUGCCAGCCGCCGCCGUAA